This 382-nucleotide long non-coding RNA is filed under the name Homo sapiens (human). RNAcentral's name for it is "non-protein coding lnc-NBAS-16:1". The record is from RNAcentral. Lineage: Eukaryota; Metazoa; Chordata; Mammalia; Primates; Hominidae.
ACAUUCAAGUUCCCAGACACCAGGUGAACGAGCGAGCUCCUUGUCGGGGGCGGGGCCGGCUGUCCUCACCGAAUUCGCAGCGCCAUCUUCCUCCCGGGACCGGGCCGGCUUCCCUUCUGCCAGCGAGGGAGACUCGCAGGCAAAGGCGGGUGGGGGUGGCGUUCGCUUCCCACGGUGGAAAGAACCGGAGGCAAACACUGUCUGGCUUAGCCCGCAGCCUGGAACACAAUGUCAGGAGACCUGGGGCUGGAGAGCUGGAAAAGUCCCGGGCAGCCUCAGGAUAACCCGGAAUCCCGAAGUGCUGUCUUGGGGAAUUAUUCCCAAGUGCACAAGGGACAGGCUCGAUUUCUUGGAAAUCCUGCGAUCUGGGGACGCAUCCACA